This 381-nucleotide ribosomal RNA is filed under the name Salmonella enterica. RNAcentral describes it as "bacterial LSU rRNA". It matches the Rfam family "Bacterial large subunit ribosomal RNA", at positions 1 to 412 of the family's 2925-position model. Lineage: Bacteria; Pseudomonadati; Pseudomonadota; Gammaproteobacteria; Enterobacterales; Enterobacteriaceae. The record is from RNAcentral.
GGGUUGUGAGGUUAAGCGACUAAGCGUACACGGUGGAUGCCCUGGCAGUCAGAGGCGAUGAAGGGCGUGCUAAUCUGCGAUAAGCGCCGGUAAGGUGAUAUGAACCGUUAUAACCGGCGAUACCCGAAUGGGGAAACCCAGUGUGACUCGUCACACUAUCAUUAACUGAAUCCAUAGGUUAAUGAGGCGAACCGGGGGAACUGAAACAUCUAAGUACCCCGAGGAAAAGAAAUCAACCGAGAUUCCCCCAGUAGCGGCGAGCGAACGGGGAGGAGCCCAGAGCCUGAAUCAGCAUGUGUGUUAGUGGAAGCGUCUGGAAAGGCGCGCGAUACAGGGUGACAGCCCCGUACACAAAAGCGCACAUGCUGUGAGCUCGAUGAG